Molecule: ribosomal RNA, 772 nt
Filed under: uncultured Streptococcus sp.
Lineage: Bacteria; Bacillati; Bacillota; Bacilli; Lactobacillales; Streptococcaceae
Description: bacterial SSU rRNA
Rfam family: Bacterial small subunit ribosomal RNA
Source: RNAcentral
GACGAACGCUGGCGGCGUGCCUAAUACAUGCAAGUAGAACGCACAGGAUGCACCGUAGUUUACUACACCGUAUUCUGUGAGUUGCGAACGGGUGAGUAACGCGUAGGUAACCUGCCUGGUAGCGGGGGAUAACUAUUGGAAACGAUAGCUAAUACCGCAUAAGAACAUUUACUGCAUGGUAGAUGUUUAAAAGGUGCAAAUGCAUCACUACCAGAUGGACCUGCGUUGUAUUAGCUAGUUGGUGAGGUAACGGCUCACCAAGGCAACGAUACAUAGCCGACCUGAGAGGGUGAUCGGCCACACUGGGACUGAGACACGGCCCAGACUCCUACGGGAGGCAGCAGUAGGGAAUCUUCGGCAAUGGGGGGAACCCUGACCGAGCAACGCCGCGUGAGUGAAGAAGGUUUUCGGAUCGUAAAGCUCUGUUGUUAAGGAAGAACGUGUGUGAGAGUGGAAAGUUCACACAGUGACGGUACUUAACCAGAAAGGGACGGCUAACUACGUGCCAGCAGCCGCGGUAAUACGUAGGUCCCGAGCGUUGUCCGGAUUUAUUGGGCGUAAAGCGAGCGCAGGCGGUUAGAUAAGUCUGAAGUGAAAGGCAGUGGCUCAACCAUUGUAGGCUUUGGAAACUGUUUAACUUGAGUGCAGAAGGGGAGAGUGGAAUUCCAUGUGUAGCGGUGAAAUGCGUAGAUAUAUGGAGGAACACCGGUGGCGAAGCGGCUCUCUGGUCUGUAACUGACGCUGAGGCUCGAAAGCGUGGGGAGCGAACAGG